CCAAAGGCUCUUUUCAGAGCCACCCACAUUUUCAGCAUAAGAGUUG
Myotis lucifugus (little brown bat) is the source of this 46-nucleotide non-coding RNA. NCBI's taxonomy places the organism in Eukaryota, Metazoa, Chordata, Mammalia, Chiroptera, Vespertilionidae. The record is from Rfam.